AACGAACGCUGGCGGCAGGCCUAACACAUGCAAGUCGAACGCCGUAGCAAUACGGAGUGGCAGACGGGUGAGUAACGCGUGGGAACGUACCCUUCAGUUCGGAAUAACCCAGGGAAACUUGGGCUAAUACCGGAUACGUGCGAGAGCAGAAAGAUUUAUCGCUGAAGGAUCGGCCCGCGUCCGAUUAGCUAGUUGGUGAGGUAAUGGCUCACCAAGGCGACGAUCGGUAGCUGGUCUGAGAGGAUGAUCAGCCACAUUGGGACUGAGACACGGCCCAAACUCCUACGGGAGGCAGCAGUGGGGAAUAUUGGACAAUGGGCGCAAGCCUGAUCCAGCCAUGCCGCGUGAGUGAUGAAGGCCCUAGGGUUGUAAAGCUCAUUCGCCAGGGACGAUAAUGACGGUACCUGGAUAAGAAGCCCCGGCUAACUUCGUGCCAGCAGCCGCCGUAA
Molecule: ribosomal RNA, 449 nt
Filed under: uncultured bacterium
Lineage: Bacteria
Description: partial 16S ribosomal RNA
Rfam family: Bacterial small subunit ribosomal RNA
Source: RNAcentral